AGAACAGACAUGGAACAGGCUGUUUUGCAACACUAG
This 36-nucleotide small RNA is filed under the name Arabidopsis thaliana (thale cress). Its description in RNAcentral is "ATSL078710". Lineage: Eukaryota; Viridiplantae; Streptophyta; Magnoliopsida; Brassicales; Brassicaceae. The record is from RNAcentral.